This 468-nucleotide ribosomal RNA is filed under the name uncultured bacterium. Its description in RNAcentral is "partial 16S ribosomal RNA". It matches the Rfam family "Bacterial small subunit ribosomal RNA", at positions 28 to 507 of the family's 1533-position model. The record is from RNAcentral.
GACGAACGCUGGCGGCGUGCUUAACACAUGCAAGUCGAACGGAAAGGCCCUGCUUUUGUGGGGUGCUCGAGUGGCGAACGGGUGAGUAACACGUGAGUAACCUGCCCUUGACUUUGGGAUAACUUCAGGAAACUGGGGCUCAUACCGGAUAGGAGCUCCUGCUGCAUGGUGGGGGUUGGAAAGUUUCGGCGGUUGGGGAUCGACUCGCGGCUUAUCAGCUUGUUGGUGGGGUAGUGGCUUACCAAGGUUUUGACGGGUAGCCGGCCUGAGAGGGUGACCGGCCACAUUAGGACUGAGAGACGGCCCAGUCGCCUACGGGAGGCAGCAGUGGGGAAUAUUGCACAAUGGGCGGAAGCCUGAUGCAGCAACGCCGCGUGCGUGAUGACGGCCUUCGGGUUGUAAACCGCUUUCGCCUGUGACGAAGCGUGAGUGACGGUAAUGGGUAAAGAAGCACCGGCUAACUACGUG